This 702-nucleotide ribosomal RNA is filed under the name uncultured Staphylococcus sp. RNAcentral describes it as "bacterial SSU rRNA". It matches the Rfam family "Bacterial small subunit ribosomal RNA", at positions 48 to 732 of the family's 1533-position model. Lineage: Bacteria; Bacillati; Bacillota; Bacilli; Caryophanales; Staphylococcaceae. The record is from RNAcentral.
CUAAUACAUGCAAGUCGAGCGAACAGACGAGGAGCUUGCUCCUCUGACGUUAGCGGCGGACGGGUGAGUAACACGUGGAUAACCUACCUAUAAGACUGGGAUAACUUCGGGAAACCGGAGCUAAUACCGGAUAAUAUAUUGAACCGCAUGGUUCAAUAGUGAAAGACGGUUUUGCUGUCACUUAUAGAUGGAUCCGCGCCGCAUUAGCUAGUUGGUAAGGUAACGGCUUACCAAGGCAACGAUGCGUAGCCGACCUGAGAGGGUGAUCGGCCACACUGGAACUGAGACACGGUCCAGACUCCUACGGGAGGCAGCAUUAGGGAAUCUUCCGCAAUGGGCGAAAGCCUGACGGAGCAACGCCGCGUGAGUGAUGAAGGUCUUCGGAUCGUAAAACUCUGUUAUUAGGGAAGAACAAAUGUGUAAGUAACUAUGCACGUCUCGACGGUACCUAAUCAGAAAGCCACGGCUAACUACGUGCCAGCAGCCGCGGUAAUACGUAGGUGGCAAGCGUUAUCCGGAAUUAUUGGGCGUAAAGCGCGCGUAGGCGGUUUUUUAAGUCUGAUGUGAAAGCCCACGGCUCAACCGUGGAGGGUCAUUGGAAACUGGAAAACUUGAGUGCAGAAGAGGAAAGUGGAAUUCCAUGUGUAGCGGUGAAAUGCGCAGAGAUAUGGAGGAACACCAGUGGCGAAGGCGACUUUCUGG